This 253-nucleotide ribosomal RNA is filed under the name uncultured bacterium. RNAcentral describes it as "partial 16S ribosomal RNA". It matches the Rfam family "Bacterial small subunit ribosomal RNA", at positions 524 to 776 of the family's 1533-position model. The record is from RNAcentral.
UACGUAGGGAGCAAGCGUUGUCCGGAAUCAUUGGGCGUAAAGCGCGCGUGGGUGGCCUCGUAAGUCCGCUGUGAAAGUCAAAGGCUCAACCUUUGAAAGCCGGUGGAUACUGUGGGGCUAGAGUACGGAAGAGGCGAGUGGAAUUCCUGGUGUAGCGGUGGAAUGCGCAGAUAUCAGGAGGAACACCAAUAGCGAAGGCAGCUCGCUGGGACGUCACUGACACUGAGGCGCGAAAGCGUGGGGAGCGAACAGG